AUUGAUCACCGGUUACUGAGGUUGUUCCUUCUUUGGCUUCGUUUUCUGGCGAUCAAAAG
RNAcentral lists this microRNA precursor (59 nucleotides) under Drosophila yakuba. Its description in RNAcentral is "Dya-Mir-961_pre stem-loop". The record is from RNAcentral. Lineage: Eukaryota; Metazoa; Arthropoda; Insecta; Diptera; Drosophilidae.